RNAcentral lists this transfer RNA (72 nucleotides) under Coleochaete scutata. RNAcentral's name for it is "tRNA-Val". It matches the Rfam family "tRNA". From Rfam's summary of the family: Transfer RNA (tRNA) molecules are approximately 80 nucleotides in length. Their secondary structure includes four short double-helical elements and three loops (D, anti-codon, and T loops). The record is from RNAcentral. Lineage: Eukaryota; Viridiplantae; Streptophyta; Coleochaetophyceae; Coleochaetales; Coleochaetaceae.
AGGGAUAUAACUCAGUGGUAGAGUGCCAUCUUGACGUGAUGGAAGUCAUCAGUUCAAAUCUGAUUAUCCUUA